Molecule: ribosomal RNA, 2933 nt
Filed under: Bacillus velezensis
Lineage: Bacteria; Bacillati; Bacillota; Bacilli; Caryophanales; Bacillaceae
Description: 23S ribosomal RNA
Rfam family: Bacterial large subunit ribosomal RNA
Source: RNAcentral
GGUUAAGUUAGAAAGGGCGCACGGUGGAUGCCUUGGCACUAGGAGCCGAUGAAGGACGGGACGAACACCGAUAUGCUUCGGGGAGCUGUAAGCAAGCUUUGAUCCGGAGAUUUCCGAAUGGGGAAACCCACCACUCGUAAUGGAGUGGUAUCCAUAUCUGAAUACAUAGGAUAUGAGAAGGCAGACCCGGGGAACUGAAACAUCUAAGUACCCGGAGGAAGAGAAAGCAAAUGCGAUUCCCUGAGUAGCGGCGAGCGAAACGGGAUAAGCCCAAACCAAGAGGCUUGCCUCUUGGGGUUGUAGGACACUCUGUACGGAGUUACAAAGGAACGAGGUAGAUGAAGAGGUCUGGAAAGGCCGCCAUAGGAGGUAACAGCCCUGUAGUCAAAACUUCGUUCUCUCCUGAGUGGAUCCUGAGUACGGCGGAACACGUGAAAUUCCGUCGGAAUCCGGGAGGAACCAUCUCCCAAGGCUAAAUACUCCCUAGUGACCGAUAGUGAACCAGUACCGUGAGGGAAAGGUGAAAAGCACCCCGGAAGGGGAGUGAAAGAGAUCCUGAAACCGUGUGCCUACAAGUAGUCAGAGCCCGUUAACGGGUGAUGGCGUGCCUUUUGUAGAAUGAACCGGCGAGUUACGAUCCCGUGCAAGGUUAAGCAGAAGAUGCGGAGCCGCAGCGAAAGCGAGUCUGAAUAGGGCGAAUUGAGUACGUGGUCGUAGACCCGAAACCAGGUGAUCUACCCAUGUCCAGGGUGAAGUUCAGGUAACACUGAAUGGAGGCUUCGAACCCACGCACGUUGAAAAGUGCGGGGAUGAGGUGUGGGUAGGGGUGAAAUGCCAAUCGAACCUGGAGAUAGCUGGUUCUCUCCGAAAUAGCUUUAGGGCUAGCCUCAAGGUAAGAGUCUCGGAGGUAGAGCACUGAUUGGACUAGGGGCCCUACCGGGUUACCGAAUUCAGUCAAACUCCGAAUGCCGAUGACUUAUCCUUGGGAGUCAGACUGCGAGUGAUAAGAUCCGUAGUCGAAAGGGAAACAGCCCAGACCGCCAGCUAAGGUCCCAAAGUAUACGUUAAGUGGAAAAGGAUGUGGAGUUGCUUAGACAACCAGGAUGUUGGCUUAGAAGCAGCCACCAUUUAAAGAGUGCGUAAUAGCUCACUGGUCGAGUGACUCUGCGCCGAAAAUGUACCGGGGCUAAACGUAUCACCGAAGCUGCGGACUGUUCUUCGAACAGUGGUAGGAGAGCGUUCUAAGGGCUGUGAAGCAAGACCGGAAGGACUUGUGGAGCGCUUAGAAGUGAGAAUGCCGGUAUGAGUAGCGAAAGAGGGGUGAGAAUCCCCUCCACCGAAUGCCUAAGGUUUCCUGAGGAAGGCUCGUCCGCUCAGGGUUAGUCGGGGCCAUAAGCCGAGGCCGAAAGGCGUAGGCGAUGGAUAACAGGUUGAUAUUCCUGUACCACCUCCUCACCAUUUGAGCAAUGGGGGGACGCAGGAGGAUAGGGUGAGCGCGGUAUUGGAUAUCCGCGUCCAAGCAGUUAGGCUGGGAAAUAGGCAAAUCCGUUUCCCGUGAAGGCUGAGCUGUGAUGGCGAGCGAAUUAUAGUAGCGAAGUUCCUGAUUCCACACUGCCAAGAAAAGCCUCUAGCGAGGUGAGAGGUGCCCGUACCGCAAACCGACACAGGUAGGCGAGGAGAGAAUCCUAAGGUGAUCGAGAGAACUCUCGUUAAGGAACUCGGCAAAAUGACCCCGUAACUUCGGGAGAAGGGGUGCUCUGUUAGGGUGCAAGCCCGAGAGAGCCGCAGUGAAUAGGCUACCCAGGCGACUGUUUAGCAAAAACACAGGUCUCUGCGAAGCCGUAAGGCGAAGUAUAGGGGCUGACGCCUGCCCGGUGCUGGAAGGUUAAGAGGAGCGCUUAGCGUAAGCGAAGGUGCGAAUUGAAGCCCCAGUAAACGGCGGCCGUAACUAUAACGAUUCUAAGGUAGCGAAAUUCCUUGUCGGGUAAGUUCCGACCCGCACGAAAGGCGCAACGAUCUGGGCACUGUCUCAACGAGAGACUCGGUGAAAUUAUAGUACCUGUGAAGAUGCAGGUUACCCGCGACAGGACGGAAAGACCCCGUGGAGCUUUACUGCAGCCUGAUAUUGAAUGUUGGUACAGCUUGUACAGGAUAGGUAGGAGCCUUGGAAACCGGAGCGCCAGCUUCGGUGGAGGCAUCGGUGGGAUACUACCCUGGCUGUAUUGACCUUCUAACCCGCCGCCCUUAUCGGGCGGGGAGACAGUGUCAGGUGGGCAGUUUGACUGGGGCGGUCGCCUCCUAAAAGGUAACGGAGGCGCCCAAAGGUUCCCUCAGAAUGGUUGGAAAUCAUUCGCAGAGUGUAAAGGCACAAGGGAGCUUGACUGCGAGACCUACAAGUCGAGCAGGGACGAAAGUCGGGCUUAGUGAUCCGGUGGUUCCGCAUGGAAGGCCAUCGCUCAACGGAUAAAAGCUACCCCGGGGAUAACAGGCUUAUCUCCCCCAAGAGUCCACAUCGACGGGGAGGUUUGGCACCUCGAUGUCGGCUCAUCGCAUCCUGGGGCUGUAGUCGGUCCCAAGGGUUGGGCUGUUCGCCCAUUAAAGCGGUACGCGAGCUGGGUUCAGAACGUCGUGAGACAGUUCGGUCCCUAUCCGUCGCGGGCGCAGGAAAUUUGAGAGGAGCUGUCCUUAGUACGAGAGGACCGGGAUGGACGCACCGCUGGUGUACCAGUUGUUCUGCCAAGGGCAUCGCUGGGUAGCUAUGUGCGGACGGGAUAAGUGCUGAAAGCAUCUAAGCAUGAAGCCCCCCUCAAGAUGAGAUUUCCCAUUCCGCAAGGAAGUAAGAUCCCUGAAAGAUGAUCAGGUUGAUAGGUCUGAGGUGGAAGUGUGGCGACACAUGGAGCUGACAGAUACUAAUCGAUCGAGGACUUAACCAA